This 205-nucleotide ribosomal RNA is filed under the name Clostridium celatum. RNAcentral describes it as "partial 16S ribosomal RNA". It matches the Rfam family "Bacterial small subunit ribosomal RNA", at positions 1329 to 1533 of the family's 1533-position model. The record is from RNAcentral. Lineage: Bacteria; Bacillati; Bacillota; Clostridia; Eubacteriales; Clostridiaceae.
GAAUCGCUAGUAAUCGCGGAUCAGCACGCCGCGGUGAAUACGUUCCCGGGCCUUGUACACACCGCCCGUCACACCACGAGAGUUUGUAACACCCGAAGUCGGUGAGGUAACCUUUUGGAGCCAGCCGCCUAAGGUGGGACAGAUGAUUGGGGUGAAGUCGUAACAAGGUAGCCGUAUCGGAAGGUGCGGCUGGAUCACCUCCUUU